AAGGAAGCAAUUGUGCCAAGUACUUUUGUUGCCUUGUUUUUCUCUUCCAGGAAAGUUUUUAAGAUCUAUCUGGUUGAAGUGAUGGGUCAGUCAGAAGCCAACUGCUGUGAUAGUAUCUUUGAAAAACUCACAUGACUUGACUGGGUUGUUUUUCAAUUAUGGAAGUCUUCCUUAAGAAGAUCAUUUAUUAUGGAAUGAUAUUAUGGAAUACAACAUAACUACAAAAGGAGCUGCAAUGAUUAGUCAAACUGCAAACAUUGACACUGUUGUUAUCUGAAGACUGGUGAAGUGAAAUCUACAUCAAAAGCUGGGGUAUGUAUACAUAGGAACU
RNAcentral lists this long non-coding RNA (331 nucleotides) under Cyanistes caeruleus (blue tit). RNAcentral describes it as "lncRNA (ENSCCEG00000014862.1)". The record is from RNAcentral. Lineage: Eukaryota; Metazoa; Chordata; Aves; Passeriformes; Paridae.